AAGAAGAAAAAAGUUAAUUG
RNAcentral lists this small nuclear RNA (20 nucleotides) under Arabidopsis thaliana (thale cress). RNAcentral's name for it is "snRNA_02031". Lineage: Eukaryota; Viridiplantae; Streptophyta; Magnoliopsida; Brassicales; Brassicaceae. The record is from RNAcentral.